RNAcentral lists this ribosomal RNA (466 nucleotides) under uncultured bacterium. RNAcentral describes it as "partial 16S ribosomal RNA". It matches the Rfam family "Bacterial small subunit ribosomal RNA", at positions 330 to 793 of the family's 1533-position model. The record is from RNAcentral.
CCCAGACUCCUACGGGAGGCAGCAGUGAGGAAUAUUGGUCAAUGGGCGAGAGCCUGAACCAGCCAAGUCGCGUGAGGGAAGACGGUCCUAUGGAUUGUAAACCUCUUUUGUCGGGGAGCAAAAAGGCCUCGUGAGGCCACAAGUGAGAGUACCCGAAGAAAAAGCAUCGGCUAACUCCGUGCCAGCAGCCGCGGUAAUACGGAGGAUGCGAGCGUUAUCCGGAUUUAUUGGGUUUAAAGGGUGCGUAGGCGGAUUUUUAAGUCAGCGGUAAAAUGUCCGGGCUCAACCCGGGCCGGCCGUUGAAACUGGGGAUCUUGAGUGGGCGAGAAGUAUGCGGAAUGCGUGGUGUAGCGGUGAAAUGCAUAGAUAUCACGCAGAACUCCGAUUGCGAAGGCAGCGUGCCGUGCCGCCACUGACGCUGAGGCACGAAAGCGCGGGGAUCGAACAGGAUUAGAUACCCCCGUAU